AAUAAGUGUUUUAUGGCACUUUUUCAAUCCAUAUCCACCUUGUGUGCAAUGUUGUCUUGUAGUGCGAAUGCUUGUCAUUUGCGCUACAGGAUGUAAACAUCAACUCUUAUCUUUAACAACUUUGUCUAAAACCUGUAUGAAUACUUAAUUCAAAUACAACUUUCAACAACGGAUCUCUUGGCUCU
This 185-nucleotide unclassified non-coding RNA is filed under the name rhizosphere metagenome. Its description in RNAcentral is "partial ribosomal RNA internal transcribed spacer region". The record is from RNAcentral.